CAAUGGCAUUAGAUCCUAAUUAAUUAGUUUGCUUGAAGAACAUUAUCAUUAAUAAGCUCCAAAAGACUUAAUAAUAUUCCACUGCAAAUUUAAAUCAAAUCCCACAUGCAUCCACAUUGCCAAAAAAGCUAUAAUCUAAUAUAUAAUGACCCUAAGAAAUCAAGCAUGCAAAGAUUAUUACUGUACACCCCAUAACCUCUCCUCUCUCUAUUCUUUACUAUUCACAGAUAUAAACAAAAAUCAUAAACCUGCAAGAUAUCAAGAUCCACAAGGUGCUAUAUGACUAUAUCUAACUCAGCUACAGUAAUAUAAUCUCUGAAAUUUUUCAAAUUCCAAAUAACAUAUUUGCAUGAUCACAUAUGCUUCUACCAUCUGCAUAUAUGCUUGUGUUUUGAGCCUCACUCAUCCUCUCCCUAUGUUAGCCUUCUUAUCUAGAAGCAAAAUAUAUGGUUCCUUUGCUCGAAUUCGGUAGACUGUAGCAGCUACUGUCACAGUUUCUAUAUAUAUAAUUUUUGGAUAUCUUUAUUGAUCCUUGAGUGCAGACGAAUGAUCAGAGAUUGAUCGAUCAUAGGAGAAUUCGUUCUUGGAUUUACAUGAAACGUUCACCACUGUUAUCACCUGCAUUACUUCUUUUCAAAUUAAGGUUGGUGCUAGAGCUCAUAAAACCCAUUGAGAAAGAUGACAAAUUAAACGGGCUUUAAACAAAACAUAUACCUUUUACGUUUGCUUUUCAAGACUGUUGAAGUUGAAGGAUUACUGUGCCAGUUCCUCUUCCUCUGGUUGAUGAACCAAUUAUUUAUCUGCUUUAAUUGCAAGCCUGUUUCCUGUACCAACCUUGCCUUAUCUUCCUCCUGAAAAGACAUGAUUAUAUAAGAUUAAAAGAUGUCAUUUACAAAGUCUUCUAAGAAAAGUGAAAGACUUAGAGAGCCAAGACUUUGGCUUAACUACUCCCUCCUCACCCACCAAUGUCUUGUCAGGAUCAAUUUUCACAAACUCUCUGUUUGUUAGUCUGGUGUGUGCCCUCAUGUGCCCGUUUAGCUACAUCGAUCUUGCUGAUUUUUUAAUGGAGGAAAUUUCAUGACUUUUUGACACUAAGAUUGGGAAUUGGUUGUACUAAAUUCUAAGAAAGUGUAUUUUUUUCACUAGUCUCCCGACACACCACAACCAUGGUGGGGUUUCAAUGACUAAAGCUGAUGCUUAGCAGUUAGACAUAUCACAAGGCUAAAGAGCAGCUCCUAAGCAAUGCAAUUGAAGCUAAAAACCUAUCGGAAUACUUACAGUAGGAUAAGGCCACUUGGAAUGUGAUUGCCACCAAGAUUUCAAGACAGAGGUUGUGUCCCCAGGUAGCUUUCCGGCUCGUCUCUUGCGCAAAAUUUCCUCUCUGAUGUCAGCAAUUUUCUCUUUGUAACCCUGCUUUAAAUCAUGCUUCAGUUCAUGCCUGACCCUCUCCAUUAAAGACCUCUCACUUUCUGUUGGAAUAAGGGGACCAAAUCCCAUGGUAUCUGAACCAUCCAAACUUGUAUCAAACAAAUUGGCAUCACUAUCUACUUGGUCUUCAUCAUCAUCAGACAUUGUUGCGCCCGUACCUUCACCUGGAGAAACU
RNAcentral lists this unclassified non-coding RNA (1603 nucleotides) under Hevea brasiliensis (rubber tree). Lineage: Eukaryota; Viridiplantae; Streptophyta; Magnoliopsida; Malpighiales; Euphorbiaceae. The record is from RNAcentral.